This 251-nucleotide ribosomal RNA is filed under the name uncultured prokaryote. Its description in RNAcentral is "partial 16S rRNA". It matches the Rfam family "Bacterial small subunit ribosomal RNA", at positions 525 to 775 of the family's 1533-position model. The record is from RNAcentral.
ACGGGGGGUGCAAGCGUUAAUCGGAAUCACUGGGCGUAAAGCGCAUGUAGGCGGAGUCAUAAGUUUGAAGUGAAAUCCCUUGGCUCAACCAGAGAACUGCAUUGGAUACUGCGAUGCUUGAGUGUGGGAGAGGGUGGCGGAAUUCCAGGUGUAGGAGUGAAAUCCGUAGAUAUCUGGAGGAAUACCAGUUGCGAAGGCGACCUACUGGCAGACAACUGACGCUGAGGUGCGAAAGCGUGGGGAUCAAACAG